AUUUCUUUUUAGUUUUCUGAUAAUCUUCAGUAAUUUAAAAUCUUCUGGAGGUAAUUAUAAGGAACAUCAUUUCAAAGGAUACGGGGAAAAGAGAUGUCACAUGAACACGUCUUAGAAUUUACACUGUAAAUCAAACAAUGUUGCUGCAAAGGCAUGUAAGUUAAUAUAGAAACAAUGGAAGAAUGUAAAGAAAACUCAGAGACAGGGAAGAAAGCCAGGAUAGGCUCCAAGAUCAGCUGGAUGAGAUCACAACAUGUGACCCUCACAGAUGAUAGAUCAAGAAAAUGGGAAGAGCUUCAAAGCCCUGAAACCAUAUAAAGGAGAGUCACCCAACAACUAAAAGCACCCAUCCUAAACUAUUAUGUGAACAAGAAACAAACCUCUAUUAAUAUAUUUGAAUUAUUAAAUAUUUUGAGUCUA
Long non-coding RNA from Homo sapiens (human), 420 nucleotides. Ensembl annotates it as TINAG antisense RNA 1. Its record names the gene TINAG-AS1. The record is from Ensembl. Lineage: Eukaryota; Metazoa; Chordata; Mammalia; Primates; Hominidae.